CAUACAAGAAACCUGGCUUAAACCCCAAUUGGACUUCAUAAUACAUGGAUAUUCAGCAAUUAGAAAUGACAGGAGGAAAAAACAAGGUGGGGGAGUGGCAACUUUUAUACAGAAUGGUCUAAGAUAUAAAGUAGAAUCAAUUAGUAAAAAUCAUGA
Nematolebias whitei (Rio pearlfish) is the source of this 156-nucleotide long non-coding RNA. RefSeq lists it as uncharacterized. The transcript is spliced from 3 exons. NCBI's taxonomy places the organism in Eukaryota, Metazoa, Chordata, Actinopteri, Cyprinodontiformes, Rivulidae. The record is from RefSeq and is a predicted model, not a curated record.